CUACGGGCGGCUCCAGUUAGGAAUAAUCUACAAUGCGCGCAAGCGUGAUAGUUUGAGCCAGAGUGCUUAUCAUUUGAUCAGCUUUUGCCGAAUGUAAAAAGUUCGGCGAAUAAGGACUGGGCAAGACUGGUGCCAGCCGCCGCGGUAAUACCAGCGGUCCAAGUCGCAGCCACUUUUAUUGGGUCUAAAACAUCCGUAGCUUGCUUAGAAAGUUUCCUGUGAAAUCCGGCUUCUUAAGAGUUGGGCGGGCAGGAAAUACUACUGGGCUAGAGACUGGGAGACGUAAGAAGUACGUUCAAAGUAGCGGUUAAAUGUGUUAAUCUUGGACGGACUAACAAGAGCGAAGGCAUCUUACGAGAACAGUUCUGACAGUCAGGGAUGAAGGCUAGGGGCGCAAAACGGAUUAGAUACCCUGGUAGUC
RNAcentral lists this ribosomal RNA (421 nucleotides) under uncultured archaeon. Its description in RNAcentral is "partial 16S ribosomal RNA". It matches the Rfam family "Archaeal small subunit ribosomal RNA", at positions 323 to 746 of the family's 1478-position model. The record is from RNAcentral.